This 301-nucleotide ribosomal RNA is filed under the name uncultured bacterium. RNAcentral describes it as "partial 16S ribosomal RNA". It matches the Rfam family "Bacterial small subunit ribosomal RNA", at positions 509 to 807 of the family's 1533-position model. The record is from RNAcentral.
CAGUCGCCGCGGUAAUACGAAGGGUGCAAGCGUUGUCCGGAAUUAUUGGGCGUAAAGGGCUCGCAGGCGGUUUCUUAAGUCUGAUGUGAAAGCCCCCGGCUCAACCGGGGAGGGUCAUUGGAAACUGGGAAACUUGAGUGCAGAAGAGGAGAGUGGAAUCCCACGUGUAGCGGUGAAAUGCGUAGAGAUGUGGAGGAACACCAGUGGCGAAGGCGACUCUCUGGUCUGUAACUGACGCUGAGGAGCGAAAGCGUGGGGAGCGAACAGGAUUAGAUACCCGCGUAGUCCCUGUCUCUUAUAC